This 481-nucleotide ribosomal RNA is filed under the name uncultured bacterium. RNAcentral's name for it is "bacterial SSU rRNA". It matches the Rfam family "Bacterial small subunit ribosomal RNA", at positions 57 to 518 of the family's 1533-position model. The record is from RNAcentral.
GCAAGUCGAACGCGAAAGGGACUUCGGUCCUGAGUAAAGUAGCGCACGGGUGAGUAACGCGUAGAUAACCUGUCUUCAUGUCUGGAAUAAUACGCCGAAAGGGGUACUAAUACCGGAUAUUCUUGCUUUUCAUAAGUUAUGCAAGCAAAGGUGGCCUCUGCAUAUGCUACUGCAUGAAGAGGGGUCUGCGUACCAUUAGCUAGUAGGUGGGGUAAUGGCCUACCUAGGCGACGAUGGUUAGCGGGUCUGAGAGGAUGAUCCGCCACACUGGCACUGGAACACGGGCCAGACUCCUACGGGAGGCAGCAGUGAGGAAUAUUGCGCAAUGGGGGAAACCCUGACGCAGCGACGCCGCGUGAGUGAGGAAGGCCUUCGGGUCGUAAAGCUCUGUCAAGAGGAAAGAAGUGUACAAUGGCUAAUACCUGUUGUAUUUGACGGUACCUCUAAAGGAAGCACCGGCUAACUCCGUGCCAGCCGCGGC